RNAcentral lists this ribosomal RNA (262 nucleotides) under uncultured archaeon. RNAcentral's name for it is "partial 16S ribosomal RNA". It matches the Rfam family "Archaeal small subunit ribosomal RNA", at positions 716 to 982 of the family's 1478-position model. The record is from RNAcentral.
AGUCACUGACAUUAGAUACCCGCGUAGUCCAGGGUGUAAACGCUGCAGACUUGGUGUUGGAGGCCCUUUGGGGCAUUCAGUGCCGGAGAGAAGUUGUUAAGUCUGCUACUUGGGGAGUACGUCCGCAAGGAUGAAACUUAAGGAAGUUGGCGGGGAGCACCGCAACGGGAGGAGCGUGCGGUUUAAUUGGAUUCAACACCGUAAACUCACCAGGGAAGACUGUUACAUGAAGGCCGAGAUGAAGACUCUGCUAGAUUUUCAG